This 441-nucleotide ribosomal RNA is filed under the name Eggerthella lenta. Its description in RNAcentral is "bacterial SSU rRNA". It matches the Rfam family "Bacterial small subunit ribosomal RNA", at positions 338 to 796 of the family's 1533-position model. Lineage: Bacteria; Bacillati; Actinomycetota; Coriobacteriia; Eggerthellales; Eggerthellaceae. The record is from RNAcentral.
CCUACGGGAGGCAGCAGUGGGGAAUUUUGCGCAAUGGGGGAAACCCUGACGCAGCAACGCCGCGUGCGGGACGACGGCCUUCGGGUUGUAAACCGCUUUCAGCAGGGAAGAAAUUCGACGGUACCUGCAGAAGAAGCUCCGGCUAACUACGUGCCAGCAGCCGCGGUAAUACGUAGGGAGCGAGCGUUAUCCGGAUUCAUUGGGCGUAAAGAGCGCGUAGGCGGCCUCUCAAGCGGGAUCUCUAAUCCGAGGGCUCAACCCCCGGCCGGAUCCCGAACUGGGAGGCUCGAGUUCGGUAGAGGCAGGCGGAAUUCCCGGUGUAGCGGUGGAAUGCGCAGAUAUCGGGAAGAACACCGAUGGCGAAGGCAGCCUGCUGGGCCGCAACUGACGCUGAGGCGCGAAAGCUAGGGGAGCGAACAGGAUUAGAUACCCUGGUAGUCC